RNAcentral lists this small RNA (125 nucleotides) under Marmota monax (woodchuck). The record is from RNAcentral. Lineage: Eukaryota; Metazoa; Chordata; Mammalia; Rodentia; Sciuridae.
GCCGGGCAUGGUGGCUCACGUCUGUAAUCCCAGUGGCUUGGGAGGCUGAGGCAGGAGGAUUUCGAGUUCAAAGCCAGCCUCAGCAAAAGUGAGGUGCUAAGCAACUCAGUGAGACCCUGUCUCUA